CAGGUAGGGAUACCCGCUGAACUUAAGCAUAUCAAUAAGCGGAGGAA
RNAcentral lists this ribosomal RNA (47 nucleotides) under Cladosporium sp. EF-29. RNAcentral describes it as "partial 28S ribosomal RNA". RNAcentral also lists the same sequence under 2 other names. Lineage: Eukaryota; Fungi; Ascomycota; Dothideomycetes; Cladosporiales; Cladosporiaceae. The record is from RNAcentral.